CCUCCCCACCCCACCCCACCGACGCCCCCGGCCCCAAGCUGCCCUCUAAAACCCUCGCUUUUCCGGCUCCACCAUUCCAUUCCCCUCUCUAUCUCUCUCUCUCUCUCUCUGUUAUCAGAUUCCGACGUAGUUGGUGGGAAAAAUGGGUAGCAGCCAGGCAGCAGUUUCGUUCCUGACCAACAUAGCCCGCGCCGCCUUUGGUUUGGGUAUCGGCGCCACCGUCCUCAACUCCUCCCUCUACACCGUCGACGGAGGGCAGCGGGCUGUCCUCUUCGACCGCUUCCGCGGUGUCAUCGACGACACCGUUGGAGAGGGUACUCACUUCCUCAUCCCCUGGCUCCAGAAGCCCUUCAUCUUUGACAUCCGUACCCGCCCCCACACUUUCUCCUCCAUCUCCGGCACCAAGGAUCUCCAGAUGGUCAACCUCACUCUCCGGGUCCUCUCCCGACCCGAGGUCCCCCGCCUCCCUAUCAUCUUUAAAACCCUUGGCCUCGAGUACGACGAGAAAGUGCUUCCCUCCAUCGGCAACGAGGUCCUCAAGGCCGUUGUCGCCCAGUUCAACGCCGAUCAGUUGCUCACCGAGAGGCCCCACGUCUCUGCUCUGGUUCGUGACAGCUUGGUUCGCCGCGCCAAGGACUUCAACAUCGUGCUGGAUGACGUCGCCAUUACUCACUUGUCCUAUGGGGCCGAGUUCUCCAAGGCCGUGGAGCAGAAGCAGGUGGCUCAACAGGAGGCUGAGCGCUCCAAGUUUGUGGUUAUGAAGGCUGAGCAGGAGCGGAGGGCCGCCAUCAUCAGGGCUGAGGGUGAAAGUGAGGCUGCCAAGUUGAUUUCUCAGGCAACUGAAGCUGCUGGGACUGGUUUGAUUGAGCUCCGGAGAAUUGAGGCUUCCAGGGAGAAUGCUGCCACCUUGUCUAGGAGUGGGAACGUUUGGUACCUCCCCAAGGAAAACAACAUGCUUCUGGGUCUCAAUGCUGGCCGCUAGAUUAGUUCCCUGCUGUAUCGGUUUGCCGGUCAUGAACUUCACUUCCACUCUGAGAUACAGGUGUGGGUUUGCUUUUGGCUAUCCGAGCAGACUGAGGUCCAGCAUGGUUAUUGCUCAUCUUGUUUGAUACCAUCAAUCUCUUUGUUCACCUGAAGGUUGAUAUCUUGGUUUUAGGAUCAAUCCACUAAGGUUUGCUCGCAGUGGGCUUGUGUGGUUGGAGUGGCUGUUCUCAUAUUUUGGCAUCCUUAGUAGCUUUGUUUAAAUAUUUUUUAACAGCAUUUUAAUCUCUUAGUAUAAGCAAACCCUGAUCACUUUAUGAUCUUCAUUUUAUGGAGUUGCUGCUAUGCAUUCUUCUCUAAUCCCUCCCUCCCCAGUGGUGAAGUAGUUUUGUCGACAUGAUGGAAUUGUAAUAGCAGAACUCUAGACAUUCAAGUGCUCUGGUUUUGCAAAACCCAUUUUGGGAUGGAGGAUAUAAUCCCAUAUUGAACGGGCUGCGGGGCGCUUAACGCUUUCCUGCCAAAGAAUUUUUAACUCCUUUACCUGGCUUUGGAUUGUUUGAGGCAAAUACAAAAAUGAUGGAUUGUUUA
Coffea arabica (coffee) is the source of this 1569-nucleotide RNA transcript. It is a transcript of the gene named prohibitin-3, mitochondrial, with no coding region annotated. The record is from RefSeq and is a predicted model, not a curated record. Lineage: Eukaryota; Viridiplantae; Streptophyta; Magnoliopsida; Gentianales; Rubiaceae.